This 230-nucleotide ribosomal RNA is filed under the name Klebsiella aerogenes. Its description in RNAcentral is "partial 23S ribosomal RNA". It matches the Rfam family "Bacterial large subunit ribosomal RNA", at positions 1 to 222 of the family's 2925-position model. RNAcentral also lists the same sequence under 2 other names. The record is from RNAcentral. Lineage: Bacteria; Pseudomonadati; Pseudomonadota; Gammaproteobacteria; Enterobacterales; Enterobacteriaceae.
GGGUUGUGAGGUUAAGCGACUAAGCGUACACGGUGGAUGCCCUGGCAGUCAGAGGCGAUGAAGGACGUGCUAAUCUGCGAAAAGCGUCGGUAAGGUGAUAUGAACCGUUACAGCCGGCGAUGUCCGAAUGGGGAAACCCAGUGCAAUUCGUUGCACUAUCGUUAACUGAAUACAUAGGUUAACGAGGCGAACCGGGGGAACUGAAACAUCUAAGUACCCCGAGGAAAAGA